GACGAACGCUGGCGGCGUGCUUAACACAUGCAAGUCGAACGGUAAGGCCCUUCGGGGUACACGAGUGGCGAACGGGCGAGUAACACGUGGGUGAUCUGCCCUGCACUUCGGGAUAAGCCUGGGAAACUGGGUCUAAUACCGGAUAGGACCACUGCCUGCAUGGGUGGUGGUGGAAAGCUUUUGCGGUGUGGGAUGGGCCCGCGGCCUAUCAGCUUGGUGGUGGGGUGAUGGCCUACCAAGGCGACGACGGGUAGCCGGCCUGAGGGGGUGACCGGCCACACUGGGACUGAGAUACGGCCCAGACUCCUACGGGAGGCAGCAGUGGGGAAUAUUGCACAAUGGGCGCAAGCCUGAUGCAGCGACGCCGCGUGAGGGAUGACGGCCUUCGGGUUGUAAACCUCUUUCAGCACCGACGAAGCGCAAGUGACGGUAGGUGCAGAAGAAGGACCGGCCAACUACGUGCCAGCCGCCGCCGUAA
This 478-nucleotide ribosomal RNA is filed under the name uncultured bacterium. RNAcentral describes it as "partial 16S ribosomal RNA". It matches the Rfam family "Bacterial small subunit ribosomal RNA", at positions 28 to 523 of the family's 1533-position model. The record is from RNAcentral.